Molecule: ribosomal RNA, 165 nt
Filed under: Urtica pilulifera
Lineage: Eukaryota; Viridiplantae; Streptophyta; Magnoliopsida; Rosales; Urticaceae
Description: 5.8S ribosomal RNA
Rfam family: 5.8S ribosomal RNA
About the family: 5.8S ribosomal RNA (5.8S rRNA) is a component of the large subunit of the eukaryotic ribosome. It is transcribed by RNA polymerase I as part of the 45S precursor that also contains 18S and 28S rRNA. Functionally, it is thought that 5.8S rRNA may be involved in ribosome translocation.
Source: RNAcentral
CAUAACGACUCUCGGCAACGGAUAUCUCGGCUCUCGCAUCGAUGAAGAACGUAGCGAAAUGCGAUACGUGGUGUGAAUUGCAGGAUCCCGUGAACCAUCGAGUUUUUGAACGCAAGUUGCGCCCGAAGCCUUUAGGCCGAGGGCACGUCUGCCUGGGCGUCACGC